RNAcentral lists this ribosomal RNA (292 nucleotides) under uncultured bacterium. RNAcentral's name for it is "partial 16S ribosomal RNA". It matches the Rfam family "Bacterial small subunit ribosomal RNA", at positions 505 to 796 of the family's 1533-position model. The record is from RNAcentral.
GUGUCAGCAGCCGCGGUAAGACGAACCGAGCGAACGUUGUUCGGAAUAACUGGGCUUAAAGGGCGCGUAGGCGGGCCGCCAAGUUCGAGGUGAAAUCCUCCGGCUCAACCGGAGAACUGCCUCGAAUACUGGAGGCCUCGAGGCGGGUAGGGGCGUGCGGAACUGUGGGUGGAGCGGUGAAAUGCGUUGAUAUCCACAGGAACUCCGGUGGCGAAGGCGGCACGCUGGACCCGAUCUGACGCUGAGGCGCGAAAGCCAGGGGAGCAAACGGGAUUAGAAACCCCCGUAGUCC